This 465-nucleotide ribosomal RNA is filed under the name uncultured Klebsiella sp. RNAcentral describes it as "bacterial SSU rRNA". It matches the Rfam family "Bacterial small subunit ribosomal RNA", at positions 338 to 795 of the family's 1533-position model. The record is from RNAcentral. Lineage: Bacteria; Pseudomonadati; Pseudomonadota; Gammaproteobacteria; Enterobacterales; Enterobacteriaceae.
CCUACGGGAGGCAGCAGUGGGGAAUAUUGCACAAUGGGCGCAAGCCUGAUGCAGCCAUGCCGCGUGUGUGAAGAAGGCCUUCGGGUUGUAAAGCACUUUCAGCGGGGAGGAAGGCGGUGAGGUUAAUAACCUCAUCGAUUGACGUUACCCGCAGAAGAAGCACCGGCUAACUCCGUGCCAGCAGCCGCGGUAAUACGGAGGGUGCAAGCGUUAAACGGAAUUACUGGGCGUAAAGCGCACGCAGGCGGUCUGUCAAGUCGGAUGUGAAAUCCCCGGGCUCAACCUGGGAACUGCAUUCGAAACUGGCAGGCUAGAGUCUUGUAGAGGGGGGUAGAAUUCCAGGUGUAGCGGUGAAAUGCGUAGAGAUCUGGAGGAAUACCGGUGGCGAAGGCGGCCCCCUGGACAAAGACUGACGCUCAGGUGCGAAAGCGUGGGGAGCAAACAGGAUUAGAUACCCUUGUAGUC